GUAGGUGAACCUGCGGAAGGAUCAUUAACACUAACAUCUCCACACUUACCUGCGGGUUUCCCCAAAUCCCAGGUAUUUCAAACCCCCUCUCCCUUUUUUUUUUUAAAAAAAAGGCGAACACUGUUUGGGAACGCACGUACACACGCCGUUCCCGCUUUUUUCUCUUUUCCUUUUUUACUAAAACCCAAUUGAAACAUUCUGACUGAAAACUUGUUCUACCGUGAAAGCGAUAGAAUACACUAUGAAUUGU
RNAcentral lists this unclassified non-coding RNA (250 nucleotides) under plant metagenome. RNAcentral's name for it is "partial contains small subunit ribosomal RNA, internal transcribed spacer 1, and 5.8S ribosomal RNA". The record is from RNAcentral.